RNAcentral lists this ribosomal RNA (393 nucleotides) under Perca fluviatilis (European perch). RNAcentral's name for it is "partial 12S ribosomal RNA". The record is from RNAcentral. Lineage: Eukaryota; Metazoa; Chordata; Actinopteri; Perciformes; Percidae.
CAAAGGCUUGGUCCUGACUUUACUAUCAACUCUAGCUAAACUUACACAUGCAAGUAUCCGCAUCCCCGUGAGAAUGCCCUACAGUUCCCUGCCCGGGAACAAGGAGCUGGUAUCAGGCACACUUCGACUAGCCCAUGACACCUUGCUUAGCCACACCCCCAAGGGAACUCAGCAGUGAUAGACAUUAAGCCAUAAGUGAAAACUUGACUUAGUCAAAGCUAAGAGGGCCGGUAAAACUCGUGCCAGCCACCGCGGUUAUACGAGAGGCCCAAGUUGAUAGACAUCGGCGUAAAGCGUGGUUAAGAUUAAAGACAAUACUAAAGCCGAACACCUUCAGAGCUGUUAUACGCAUCCGAAGGUAAGAAGUUCAACCACGAAAGUGGCUUAUAGUAC